RNAcentral lists this ribosomal RNA (495 nucleotides) under uncultured bacterium. RNAcentral describes it as "partial 16S ribosomal RNA". It matches the Rfam family "Bacterial small subunit ribosomal RNA", at positions 28 to 507 of the family's 1533-position model. The record is from RNAcentral.
GACGAACGCUGGCGGCGUGCCUAAUACAUGCAAGUAGAACGCUGAAGGAGGAGCUUGCUCUUCUGGAUGAGUUGCGAACGGGUGAGUAACGCGUAUGUAACCUGCCUGGUAGCGGGGGAUAACUAUUGGAAACGAUAGCUAUUACCGCAUAACAGUAUAUGUUGCAUGACAUUUACUAAAAAGAUGCAAUUUCAUCACUACCAGAUGGUCCUGCGGUGUUAUAGUUAGUUGGUGGGGUAACGACUCACCAAGGCGACGAUACAUAGCCGACCAGAGAGGGGGAUCCGCCAAACCGGGACUGAGACCACGCCCAGACUCCUAAGGGGGGCAGCAGUAGGGAAUCUUCGGCAAUGGAGGGAAGUCUGACCGAGGAAAGCCGGGUGAGGGAAGAAGGUUUUCGGAUCGUAAAGCUCUGUUGUAUGAGAAGAACGAGUGUGAGAGUGGAAAGUUCACACUGUGACGGUAUCUUACCAGAAAGGGACGGCUAACUACGUG